Long non-coding RNA from Micropterus dolomieu (smallmouth bass), 3151 nucleotides. RefSeq lists it as uncharacterized. The transcript is spliced from 4 exons. Lineage: Eukaryota; Metazoa; Chordata; Actinopteri; Centrarchiformes; Centrarchidae. The record is from RefSeq and is a predicted model, not a curated record.
CAAUGAGGGCGCAGGGAGAGCCGUGCGUGAUGUCUCUUGUUUGUGUGAACGGGAUAUUUUAGGAGGCUGCAGGAGCAGCGAGCUUCUCACCCCGGAGGAGCUGCAGGAACCGAGCGAGGCUCCGACUUCUGGCCGAGCUGGAGCGACGCUGAAUCGGUUUGAGGACGGUAGAUGUCGCGCCAAGGAGCGGAGGGCAUCAACGGAGAGAGAGGCUUUACUAAGUGGGAUUUACUGAACCGCUGCUGGACAGAUUUAUAAAGGAGCCUGAGGGCGAUGUGGAGGCUCAGAUCAACUCAGACGCUCUGAUUUACACUCUGGUCAGAGAGCUGAGCGUUGGCUGUGGAGCGUCAGCAGCAGCCCCUUCCCCGUAAGAGAGACCAAACCAUUCAACAACGUCGAAAGUUGCUUACUUCAAGAGGAAAUAUGCGGAGGAGGAGGAUUUACACGGAGGCCUACAUGGAUAUUUUCAAAAACACCUGAUACUGCAGGAGGACCGGAGCUGCAUCCUGAAGCUCUCCCUGGAGAAGCUGAGGUUCCUGGAGGACCCCGAGGCCUACCUGCGGCGCUCCGUCCUCAUCAACAACCUGCUGAGGAAGAUCCACCAUGAGGAGGAGGAGCUGGAGGCUGAAGAAGAGGAAGAGGAAGAAGAUGAAGUAGAAGAAGAAGAAGAAGAAGAGGAAGAGGAGGAGGAGGAGGAGGUCAUAGGAGAGAGGAUGCAGCGGAGGCUGUUGUACCCGGACAGGAAGAGGGUGAAGGUGCUGGUGAUGGACUGCUGCUCCCCGGCGUUCGGCCUGGAGGAGCUUCAGCAUUACCGGCUGGUGCCCUGUUACCCGUCGGCCGGAUGCCUGUACAGCCUGGGUACCUGCCCGGGCCUCACCCCCAACCACCAAGUCCUUCUGUACAACCUGGACGAUAAUGGCUGACUGCCCAGACCCUCGCUGUCACGCCUCUAAUUCUAAGCUGAGAAAUGCAACUUGCAGUUCACGUUACGGAACGUGGACAAAAUCACCAGGGAGGACACCUUCUUAGUAAAAACUGUUAAGGGACAGGUGACGUAGGUCUGUUUAUAGUUUGCUGUCAGGACGUCACCUUUGCUGAAAGGCAGCUGUGGAUUUGUACCCUGACAAACCCUGAUUCUUCUUCGGCCUCAGGAUCAGCAGGGUUCUCCGAUGUUGAUGUCAGACUCUGUCGCAGAGACACCUGAAGCAGGCAGGAUCUUUUUAUUUUAGUUUUUAUUUUUGCUGUUGAUGUUGCGAUAUUGAUUUUUACUGUUAUUGUUGCUCAUGUGAACCGUGAGCAUAUUCAGGGAUUUACAAGACGGCAAGCUACUUUUUAACGCACCUUGGCUUGGGUGGAGAAUAUGUGCUGAUGUAUGCUUCGGUUAUCUUUUAAUUUCUACCGUGUGAUUUAUGAAAUAUUCUGUGUAACAUUCCCUGGACUGUGUGAACUGUCAUUGCUACUCAGGUGUGUUUACUGCCUGUUGGAUGGCUGUUUUCUUUCUAUGUUAUUUGAUGUUCUGUGUUCAUUCAGCGUGCUGCUCAGUUAUUUUUCUUCUUGCACUACCUUGCUGCCCUCUGCUGGUGAAAGAACUCAUCUCCAAGCCCUUGUUUUAGUGGCUGAUGCAUUCAAAUCCCACAAUGCAAUAAAAAAAGAUAAUAAGAAAAGAUGGUAACACUUUACUAUAAGUGUCCCUAUUGUACAUUUAUAGGUAUUUAAUAGAUUGUUUACGACACACUAUAAUACAAUUGUGUUAUAAUUCAAUUAAAGCACAGAUAUAAUAAUAUAAAAUAUGUCUAAAGAGAAUUUAUAAAUGUUGAAAAAUACUAUAUAUUUAUAAACAUGUGCAAUUACAUUAUAGUGUGCUAUAAACCAUAUAUUAAAAUGUAUGUUUACAAUGCUAAAAUGGGGUAAAGUAAUGUUUUUCCAACAGGGGUACUAAUCUUUCUUUUUGUUGUUUUCCCUUUUUAGUUAUAUGGUGAAAAAAGUAAUGUUUUGCUUUAUUUGUGGUUUAAAAAAAAGGAGAUCUCUUCUCAUUCUCUUCAACACUAAGAACAUUUCCAAAAAUGUUGGCACCCUGUGUAAAGUAUAGAAAAUAGAAACAAAAUCUGAUGAUGUGCAAAACAUUGAAACCAUAUUUAAUUUAAAAAUAGCACAAAGACAACUGAUCAAAUGUUUUUGUUGUUUGGAAAAUGAAAUGCCCGUUUCAAAUUUGAUGCCAGCAACACGUUUCAAAAAAGUUGGGACAGCGGCAAAACAAAAGACUGGAAAUGUUGUGAAAUGCUAAAAGAAAACACGGCGUAGAACAUCUUACAAAUAAUUAAUUAUCAAGUGGCAAAAGAAUAGUAACAUGACUGGGUAUUAAAAGAGUUGUUCUGAAGUAAAGAUGGGGAGGGCUUCACCACUCUGUGAAAGACUGCGCUCACAAGUAGUAAUGUUUCUCACCAUAAAAUUGAAACUGGGUAUUUUAUUCUCUACGGUACAUCACAUAAUUAAAAGAGUCAGAGAAUCUGAAUAAAUCUCUGUACGCAAAGGACAAGGCCGAACCUGAUUCUGUAGUGGACAUCACUGCAUGGGCUCAGGAACGCUUCCGUGAACAAAGCUCGUCGCUGCUUCCACAAAUGCAUGCUGAAUACUCUACUAUUAAAUUAAAUGAUGAUCAAUGUUUUCCACGUCAUCACAUUUUGUUUCUAUUUAAAUUUUACACAGUGUGCAAACUUUUUUUUGAAAGAUUUUCAGCCCUGUUGUGGUUUUAAAGUAGAGAGCAGAAUGUGUUUAAAUUUAUAUUAUAUUCCAUAUUUUCAAACUAUCAAUCUCUGGUUAUAAUGCAGAUGACAUGUUGUCACAUGGGACUGAGUUUUGCUUAUAAAGCUUAGCUGACUGAUCUGCUGUAUGACAACUGUGAUAUAACGAUUCAUCCUCUUUCAGUGUCUCUUUCUGUGUUUUGAGUGUUCGGUCUCUGUCCAGGAGUUUCACUGGGUUUGAAAAUGUGCGUCUUGAUAACAAUCACCAUAAUGGAAGACAACAACUACAACAACAAACUGCAGGCAACUAUUAAAGAGAAAGAGGUUUUAGGAAUUUAUAUUUUGAUGAAAAAAUGCAUAUUCCAUAUUUAAGAUAAAGUAUUUUGAAAAAGGUGAUUGAUAAUCAAAUA